This 308-nucleotide ribosomal RNA is filed under the name uncultured eukaryote. RNAcentral's name for it is "partial 18S ribosomal RNA". It matches the Rfam family "Eukaryotic small subunit ribosomal RNA", at positions 1470 to 1796 of the family's 1831-position model. The record is from RNAcentral.
CCCUUAGACGUUCUGGGCCGCACGCGCGCUACACUGACGAAGGCAACGAGCUUUCCUUUACCGAAAGGUACGGGUAAUCUUUUGAAACUUCGUCGUGCUGGGGAUAGAUCCUUGCAAUUAUUGAUCUUAAACGAGGAAUUCCUAGUAAGCGCAAGUCAUCAACUUGCGUUGAUUACGUCCCUGCCCUUUGUACACACCGCCCGUCGCUACUACCGAUUGAAUGGUUUAGUGAGGCCUUCGGAUCCGCGACUCGUUUUGUGGAGGAGUUGGACAAACUCAGUCAUUUAGAGGGAGAAAAAGUCGUAACA